RNAcentral lists this ribosomal RNA (253 nucleotides) under uncultured bacterium. Its description in RNAcentral is "partial 16S ribosomal RNA". It matches the Rfam family "Bacterial small subunit ribosomal RNA", at positions 524 to 776 of the family's 1533-position model. The record is from RNAcentral.
UACGGAGGGUGCAAGCGUUAUCCGGAUUCACUGGGUUUAAAGGGUGCGUAGGUGGGCUAGUAAGUCCGUGGUGAAAUCUCUGAGCUUAACUCGGAAACUGCCGUGGAUACUAUUAGUCUUGAAUCUCGUGGAGGUAAGCGGAAUAUGUCAUGUAGCGGUGAAAUGCUUAGAUAUGACAUAGAACACCGAUAGCGAAGGCAGCUUGCUACACGAGUAUUGACACUGAGGCACGGAAGCGUGGGGAUCAAACAGG